UAUCAGAAAGGUUUAUUUGCGAUUGUUUGAGAGGGGGGGGGGGAAAAACCCCUGUGUAGCCACAGGCAGACAAGCUCAGUGCUCAGGAACAUAAUGGCUGGAGCCCGCGGGCCCAUAUGCUCGCCAUCCUGGGAGGUGGAAGGCCAGCUCUGAUCACAUCCAGCUGCUCAGGAUACAACUGAUCAGGUCCUCACUACCAUGUUUUUGGGCAAGAUACUUUUAGAAGAACACCUCAACCAGAUCAUACUCUCAAAGACCUGAGCCUUUACUGAUGGCAGGCAAUAAUUCUGCAUUUUGGAGUAUCUUCUUACUCUUAUGCAUGGCAACAUUUAACAGCACACCACCAUCUGCCACAGAAGCACAGACCACUAAUGGCAUCAUAAGAAUAAGUGUGUACCUAUCUAUAUUUUAUUACUCAUGCCAUUUCAGGGUUUUGCAGAUAAUUAACUCUGAAUACUUAUUCAUCUAUUUUCCCUCAAAAAUGUUACCAUUCCACUUAAAACCCUUCUUUGUGGUCCAAGCAGCAGCACACUUAAUCAGACCGAGCAGGGCCGCAGAGCAGCUUUGAAGAGGCCUUAAAAUAUCUGAAAACUCUAAACCCAAGCCAUGGGAAGGGGACUGCUCUCAUCCAGCCUCCCCUUGCUCUCCUCUCCUGUAGCUUGGGGGAGACAGCAGAGUUCCUGAUCCCCCAGGGACAGGGAUACAACCCCCUGAAACCACAGUGUUUCUCCAACACUGUGUCAGCCCAGACACACUGACUCAAUCCAACACACCACUGAACCAAAAUAUUUUGAUUUGAUAAAACAAACUCAACAACUGUUUAGACUUUGUCUGACCAGACUCACAAUGGAGGUUUCCUUUUCAACUUCCCUAUUUAUUCUCAUCUCUGCCAUCACGCAGUUAGGUGAGCAAAGCCAAAGCCAUUCCCUUCUCCUUUCCCCCCUGGAUCCCCAGGGAAUGGUCAGGUCUCCUGGGCUGUCUCCCACCGCACUCCUGCAUGGAGCCAACCCAACAGGGCUGUGGAUGGCUUCAGGAAACCCUACACACAGCUAUAAUGAAAAAUUAUUAUUCCAGCAUUUUGCUUUCCAGUUGUUACACGGGCACUUCCCACAAACCCAGUAUGGGAGUGAAAGGCCUCACUUUGGUUGUUAGUGGGUUUACAGUGUCUUUCCCAACACAUCCUUGUCUCCCUGGUACAACAAAACAACCCUGCUCCUCUCUCAGCCACACCCAACCUCCAGCUCCCCGUGCACGACCCGGGCUCCCGAGUGCUCGUGGUGGGAGGUCCGUUCUCACAUCAGAUUAAAGCCAGGCAGAAUCAAUUAAAGCAAAAAGGACGGGCUCUGCUGAGAUGACAGAAGGCAUUUGGGGCAAAAUCUCACAGCUGAAUGUAGGAGAGAUGCCUUGCCCAGGCUCUCUUGUUCCUCCACAGAAGCUGGGGCACAACAACAUCUCUCCAGAUGAAUCCAGACUGCCAGUCCUACCUAAUACUUUUUUGGAGCGGCUCAUGGUGCUAAACAGCAAGGAAGAUCCAAGUCAGAGACAGAUAGAAGAGGAUAUGAAUGUAGGAGAUGAUCAGAGGAGGGACUUCUGGUGUUCUGAAAUACUUCCACAGCUUUGCCAAACCAUGGCUUGUGCAGCCUCCCCUGGAGCCACUCCUGGGUGAAUUCACAUCCCGUUAUCUUCUGGAUUUGGGCUGGGGAGAGGAAGAGGCUGUCAGACAAAUCUUCCAACUCUGAUUUCCCAACAUGUGUGAAACCUGUCACGUCAGCAUCUCUUGGAACUCUAAGCUGGAGACAAAGGCCAUGGAAAAGACUCUUCAGAAGGCAGUAAGCCACCAGUUCACCUCUUCACCAGGUCUAAUUCUACACAGCUGUCUCAAAAUAAGUGGACCAUCGGCCACAUUUUGCUAUCAGCCACCCCUUUUACUUUGACAAGGGACCAAGAUACCACAAGACCAGUCCUCCUACAAGGCGGAUUCAUUCUCGCUCAGCAUCCAAAGUUCAGCUUGGAGGACAAGGAAAAUGAGAGAAAUGGCUAGUGACACUAAGCCUUGAUAGGGUCAUGGGCUUUGCAACAGCUUCAACAUGCAGGCGGGUGAAAACAUCCCUCCCAAAGUAAAGGGACAGAGGAAAGAAAAAGGAAAG
This is a long non-coding RNA of Neopelma chrysocephalum (saffron-crested tyrant-manakin), 2147 nucleotides long. RefSeq lists it as uncharacterized. The transcript has 5 exons. The record is from RefSeq and is a predicted model, not a curated record. Lineage: Eukaryota; Metazoa; Chordata; Aves; Passeriformes; Pipridae.